CCAGGCAACACGUUCCUUGGCGCACAAAGUAACAAGUAGACAGCUGUUGCAAGUUGCAACUAACACUUGAAGGCGUUGCAACAAUUCAGACAAUGUAGCUUAAUAAUACAUUCAGAGUUGAAGAGUGACUGCAUUUAACCACUUGAAAAGUUUUACUGAUCAUUUUGUACAGUUUGAGUUACAUUGCAAAUUGAUAGGCUACCAUCUGCAGGAUUCCCAUACCACUCAUAUGAAUCUGAAAGAAGCGAUCCGACAGCUGGUUACUAGCUGUCUUGGAUCAGGAGCGCCGAAGAGAGACGAGCUGGAGCUGAAACUGAUGGCUCCUCUCCGGCUGAGGACAUGCUUAGGAACCGGCCUGUCUAGAGGCAAAACCGGCAGCUGAUAACAUACUUCCAUUGAACAAAGUCAGAGCUUGAUCCAGAU
Coregonus clupeaformis (lake whitefish) is the source of this 423-nucleotide long non-coding RNA. RefSeq lists it as uncharacterized. NCBI's taxonomy places the organism in Eukaryota, Metazoa, Chordata, Actinopteri, Salmoniformes, Salmonidae. The transcript has 2 exons. The record is from RefSeq and is a predicted model, not a curated record.